AUUGAACGCUGGCGGCAUGCCUAACACAUGCAAGUCGAACGGAGAUAGGGGCAACCUUAUUUCAGUGGCGGACGGGUNAGGAAUGCGUCGGAAUCUGCCCUAUGGUGGGGGAUAACACAGGGAAACUUGUGCUAAUACCGCAUAAAUGUCGAGAGACCAAAGCAGGGGACCGCAAGGCCUUGCGCGAUAGGAUGAGCCGACGCCCGAUUAGCUUGUUGGUAGGGUAAUGGCCUACCAAGGCGACGAUCGGGUAGCUGGUCUGAGAGGACUGAUCAGCCACACUGGGACUGAGACACGGCCCAGACUCCUACGGGAGGCAGCAGUGGGGAAUAUUGGACAAUGGGCGCAAGCCUGAUCCAGCAAUGCCGCGUGUGUGAAG
This 379-nucleotide ribosomal RNA is filed under the name uncultured bacterium. RNAcentral describes it as "bacterial SSU rRNA". It matches the Rfam family "Bacterial small subunit ribosomal RNA", at positions 30 to 410 of the family's 1533-position model. The record is from RNAcentral.